AUCAAGGCAAAGGGUGGCUACUUAGAAGAAUGUCAUAUAUAAAAAAUAUUUUGAUUUGGUCAACACUUUUUUGGUUACUACAUAAUUCCAUGUGUGUUGUUUCAUAGUUUUGAAGUCUUCACUAUUAUUCUACAAUUUAGAAAAUAGUAAAAUAAAGAAAAACCCUUGAAAGAGUAGGUGUGUCCAAACGUUUGACUGGUCCUGUAUAAAUAUAUAAUUAAAAAAUGACAUCCAACCAAGCAAUCUGGUUGUUGUAGGAUAGUAAUCUUAGCAUUGUCAAAUAUGUAACAUGAAAUAGUUGUGUGAAUAUCAUGCUUCUUUGUCAUGUCUCAGGAAGAACACUCUGCACAACACCCAUGUACUGUCAGCUGUUCCGUCAGCUGAGGUUAAGCUACACAGAUGGAAAGUGAAGCAUGGCAGAGUUUAAGUUGAAGGUGAGUAAAAACAUGGACUGACUAACAUAGUUCUACAUCUUACAACUUUCUCAAUGAUUUUGAUGCAUAUAACCAUUGAUAAUACACCACACUGACUCCUCAGGUGAUUUUGAUGCAUAUAACCAUUGAUAAUACACCACACUGACUCCUCAGGUGAUUUUGAUGCAUAUAACCAUUGAUAAUACACCACACUGACUCCUCAGGUGAUUUUGAUGCAUAUAACCAUUGAUAAUACACCACACUGACUCCUCAGGUGAUUUUGAUGCAUAUAACCAUUGAUAAUACACCACACUGACUCCUCAGGUGAUUUUGAUGCAUAUAACCAUUGAUAAUACACCACACUGACUCCUCAGGUGAUUUUGAUGCAUAUAACCAUUGAUAAUACACCACACUGACUCCUCAGGUGAUUUUGAUGCAUAUAACCAUUGAUAAUACACCACACUGACUCCUCAGGUGAUGUUGAUGCAUAUAACCAUUGAUAAUACACCACACUGACUCCUCAGGUGAUUUUGAUGCAUAUAACCAUUGAUAAUACACCACACUGACUCCUCAGGUGAUUUUGAUGCAUAUAACCAUUGAUAAUACACCACACUGACUCCUCAGGUGAUGUUGAUGCAUAUAACCAUUGAUAAUACACCACACUGACUCCUCAGGUGAUUUUGAUGCAUAUAACCAUUGAUAAUACACCACACUGACUCCUCAGGUGAUUUUGAUGCAUAUAACCAUUGAUAAUACACCACACUGACUCCUCAGGUGAUUUUGAUGCAUAUAACCAUUGAUAAUACACCACACUGACUCCUCAGGUGAUUUUGAUGCAUAUAACCAUUGAUAAUACACCACACUGACUCCUCAGGUGAUUUUGAUGCAUAUAACCAUUGAUAAUACACCACACUGACUCCUCAGGUGAUUUUGAUGCAUAUAACCAUUGAUAAUACACCACACUGACUCCUCAGGUGAUUUUGAUGCAUAUAACCAUUGAUAAUACACCACACUGACUCCUCAGGUGAUUUUGAUGCAUAUAACCAUUGAUAAUACACCACACUGACUCCUCAGGUGAUGUUGAUGCAUAUAACCAUUGAUAAUACACCACACUGACUCCUCAGGUGAUGUUGAUGCAUAUAACCAUUGAUAAUACACCACACUGACUCCUCAGGUGAUUUUGAUGCAUAUAACCAUUGAUAAUACACCACACUGACUCCUCAGGUGAUGGUGAUGCAUAUAACCAUUGAUAAUACACCACACUGACUCCUCAGGUGAUGUUGAUGCAUAUAACCAUUGAUAAUACACCACACUGACUCCUCAGGUGAUUUUGAUGCAUAUAACCAUUGAUAAUACACCACACUGACUCCUCAGGUGAUGUUGAUGCAUAUAACCAUUGAUAAUACACCACACUGACUCCUCAGGUGAUUUUGAUGCAUAUAACCAUUGAUAAUACACCACACUGACUCCUCAGGUGAUGUUGAUGCAUAUAACCAUUGAU
This is a long non-coding RNA of Oncorhynchus keta (chum salmon), 1914 nucleotides long. RefSeq lists it as uncharacterized. The transcript has 3 exons. NCBI's taxonomy places the organism in Eukaryota, Metazoa, Chordata, Actinopteri, Salmoniformes, Salmonidae. The record is from RefSeq and is a predicted model, not a curated record.